This 469-nucleotide ribosomal RNA is filed under the name uncultured organism. RNAcentral's name for it is "partial 16S ribosomal RNA". It matches the Rfam family "Bacterial small subunit ribosomal RNA", at positions 331 to 797 of the family's 1533-position model. The record is from RNAcentral.
GUACACUCCUGCGGGAGGCAGCAGUGAGGAAUAUUGGACAAUGGGUGGAAGCCUGAUCCAGCCAUCCCGCGUGCAGGAAGACGGCCCUAUGGGUUGUAAACUGCUUUUAUCUGGGGAUAAACCUACUUACGUGUAAGUAGCUGAAGGUACCAGAAGAAUAAGCACCGGCUAACUCCGUGCCAGCAGCCGCGGUAAUACGGAGGGUGCAAGCGUUAUCCGGAUUUAUUGGGUUUAAAGGGUCCGUAGGCGGACUGAUAAGUCAGUGGUGAAAUCCGACAGCUUAACUGUCGAACUGCCAUUGAUACUGUUAGUCUUGAGUAAGGUUGAAGUGGCUGGAAUAAGUAGUGUAGCGGUGAAAUGCAUAGAUAUUACUUAGAACACCAAUUGCGAAGGCAGGUCACUAAGUCUUAACUGACGCUGAUGGACGAAAGCGUGGGGAGCGAACAGGAUUAGAAACCCUUGUAGUCCC